RNAcentral lists this ribosomal RNA (701 nucleotides) under Actinokineospora sp. L2123. Its description in RNAcentral is "bacterial SSU rRNA". It matches the Rfam family "Bacterial small subunit ribosomal RNA", at positions 24 to 744 of the family's 1533-position model. The record is from RNAcentral. Lineage: Bacteria; Bacillati; Actinomycetota; Actinomycetes; Pseudonocardiales; Pseudonocardiaceae.
UCAGGACGAACGCUGGCGGCGUGCUUAACACAUGCAAGUCGAACGAUGAAGCCUUCGGGUGGAUUAGUGGCGAACGGGUGAGUAACACGUGGGUAACCUGCCCUGUACUCUGGGAUAAGCCUUGGAAACGAGGUCUAAUACCGGAUAUGACUCUGCACUGCAUGGUGUGGGGUGGAAAGUUCCGGCGGUAUGGGAUGGACCCGCGGCCUAUCAGCUUGUUGGUGGGGUAAUGGCCUACCAAGGCGACGACGGGUAGCCGGCCUGAGAGGGCGACCGGCCACACUGGGACUGAGAUACGGCCCAGACUCCUACGGGAGGCAGCAGUGGGGAAUAUUGCACAAUGGGCGAAAGCCUGAUGCAGCGACGCCGCGUGAGGGAUGACGGCCUUCGGGUUGUAAACCUCUUUCAGCAGGGACGAAGCGUAAGUGACGGUACCUGCAGAAGAAGCACCGGCUAACUACGUGCCAGCAGCCGCGGUAAUACGUAGGGUGCGAGCGUUGUCCGGAAUUAUUGGGCGUAAAGAGCUCGUAGGCGGUUUGUUGCGUCGGCCGUGAAAACCUGCAGCUUAACUGUGGGCCUGCGGUCGAUACGGGCAGACUUGAGUUCGGUAGGGGAGACUGGAAUUCCUGGUGUAGCGGUGAAAUGCGCAGAUAUCAGGAGGAACACCGGUGGCGAAGGCGGGUCUCUGGGCCGAUACUGAC